GUGCUCAUUUCGUCAGCACAUGUACUAAGAUUAAAAUGAUACAGAGAUUAGCACAGACUCUGCAUGAGGGUGAAAAGCUCUUUUUUGCUACUUUCAGCAAUGUU
Ochotona princeps (American pika) is the source of this 104-nucleotide small nuclear RNA. NCBI's taxonomy places the organism in Eukaryota, Metazoa, Chordata, Mammalia, Lagomorpha, Ochotonidae. The record is from RefSeq and is a predicted model, not a curated record.